UGGGGAAUUUUGGACAAUGGGCGAAAGCCUGAUCCAGCAAUGCCGCGUGUGUGAAGAAGGCCUUCGGGUUGUAAAGCACUUUUGUCCGGAAAGAAAUCCUUGGCUCUAAUACAGUCGGGGGAUGACGGUACCGGAAGAAUAAGCACCGGCUAACUACGUGCCAGCAGCCGCGGUAAUACGUAGGGUGCAAGCGUUAAUCGGAAUUACUGGGCGUAAAGCGUGCACAGGCGGUUUGCUAAGACCGAUGUGAAAUCCCCGGGCUCAACCUGGGAACUGCAUUGGUGACUGGCAGGCUAGAGUAUGGCAGAGGGGGGUAGAAUUCCACGUGUAGCAGUGAAAUGCGUAGAGAUGUGGAGGAAUACCGAUGGCGAAGGCAGCCCCCUGGGCCAAUACUGACGCUCAUGCACGAAAGCGUGGGGAGCAAACAGGAUUAGAUACCCUGGUAGUCCACGCCCUAAACGAUGUCAACUAGUUGUUGGGGAUUCAUUUCCUUAGUAACGUAGCUAACGCGUGAAGUUGACCGCCUGGGGAGUACGGUCGCAAGAUUAAAACUUAAAUGAAUUGACGGGGUCAUAGCUGUUUCCU
This 585-nucleotide ribosomal RNA is filed under the name uncultured bacterium. Its description in RNAcentral is "partial 16S ribosomal RNA". It matches the Rfam family "Bacterial small subunit ribosomal RNA", at positions 355 to 1375 of the family's 1533-position model. The record is from RNAcentral.